CGCGGGGUGGAGGAGCCUGGUAGCUCGUCGGGCUCAUAACCCGAAGGUCGUCGGUUCAAAUCCGGCCCCCGCAACCA
RNAcentral lists this transfer RNA (77 nucleotides) under Escherichia coli. RNAcentral describes it as "tRNA-Met". It matches the Rfam family "tRNA". From Rfam's summary of the family: Transfer RNA (tRNA) molecules are approximately 80 nucleotides in length. The record is from RNAcentral. RNAcentral also lists the same sequence under 1 other name. Lineage: Bacteria; Pseudomonadati; Pseudomonadota; Gammaproteobacteria; Enterobacterales; Enterobacteriaceae.